This 529-nucleotide unclassified non-coding RNA is filed under the name uncultured fungus. RNAcentral describes it as "sequence contains 5.8S rRNA gene, ITS2, 28S rRNA gene". The stretch from base 56 to 209 matches the Rfam family "5.8S ribosomal RNA". Lineage: Eukaryota; Fungi. The record is from RNAcentral.
AACACCCUUUUAAUGCNAUGUANAGUGUUCUUUUGCGAUGACUCGCANUAAAUACNACUUUCAACAACGGAUCUCUUGGCUCUCGCAUCGAUGAAGAACGCANCGAANUGCNAUACGUANUGUGAAUUGCAGAAUUCAGUGAAUCNUCGAAUCUUUGAACGCACCUUGCGCCCCUUGGNNUUCCGAGGGGCACACCCGUUUGAGUGUCGUGACAUUCUCAAAAAGAACCCUUCUUGGUCUUGCGAUCGGGAAAGGCUUUUUUUUGGACUUUGGAGGUUAUUGCUGGUCCCCCCUUGAUAGCCAGCUCCUCUUAAAUGAAUUANUAGGGACCGCUUUGCUGACCCUAGACGUGAUAAGAUGUUUCUGCGUCUUGGGGUAUUCGCUCUGUCCUUUGGAAACCUGCUUCUAACCGUCUUGUCAAAAGACAGCGUUCGAGCCUUUCUUGUUGAUCGGGGAAGGCUUGACUCAUGAACCUUGACCUCAAAUCGGGUGAGACUACCCGCUGAACUUAAGCAUAUCAAUAAGCGGA